RNAcentral lists this ribosomal RNA (217 nucleotides) under Staphylococcus aureus. Its description in RNAcentral is "partial 23S ribosomal RNA". It matches the Rfam family "Bacterial large subunit ribosomal RNA", at positions 2223 to 2439 of the family's 2925-position model. Lineage: Bacteria; Bacillati; Bacillota; Bacilli; Caryophanales; Staphylococcaceae. The record is from RNAcentral.
UAACCCGCACCACUUAUCGUGGUGGGAGACAGUGUCAGGCGGGCAGUUUGACUGGGGCGGUCGCCUCCUAAAAGGUAACGGAGGCGCUCCAAGGUUCCCUCAGAAUGGUUGGAAAUCAUUCAUAGAGGGUAAAGGCAUAAGGGAGCUUGACUGCGAGACCUACAAGUCGAGCAGGGUCGAAAGACGGACUUAGUGAUCCGGUGGUUCCGCAUGGAAG